GCCUGGGUGGCUCAGUCGGUUAAGCAUCUGACUUCAGCUCAGGUCAUGAUCUCGCGGUCUGUGAGUUCAAGCCCCGCAUCGGGCU
Molecule: transfer RNA, 85 nt
Filed under: Felis catus (domestic cat)
Lineage: Eukaryota; Metazoa; Chordata; Mammalia; Carnivora; Felidae
Rfam family: tRNA
About the family: Transfer RNA (tRNA) molecules are approximately 80 nucleotides in length. Their secondary structure includes four short double-helical elements and three loops (D, anti-codon, and T loops). Further hydrogen bonds mediate the characteristic L-shaped molecular structure. tRNAs have two regions of fundamental functional importance: the anti-codon, which is responsible for specific mRNA codon recognition, and the 3' end, to which the tRNAs corresponding amino acid is attached (by aminoacyl-tRNA synthetases). tRNAs cope with the degeneracy of the genetic code in two manners: having more than one tRNA (with a specific anti-codon) for a particular amino acid; and 'wobble' base-pairing, i.e. permitting non-standard base-pairing at the 3rd anti-codon position.
Source: Rfam by way of RNAcentral